UACGUAGGGUGCAAGCGUUAAUCGGAAUUACUGGGCGUAAAGCGUACGCAGGCGGCUUUGCAAGACAGGUGUGAAAUCCCCGGGCCUAACCUGGGAACUGCAUUUGUGACUGCAUGGCUAGAGUCUGUCAGAGGGGGGUGGAAUUCCACGUGUAGCAGUGAAAUGCGUAGAGAUGUAGAAGAACACCGAUGGCGAAGGCAGCCCCCUGGGAUGAGACUGACGCUCAUGUACGAAAGCGUGGGGAGCAAACAGG
This 253-nucleotide ribosomal RNA is filed under the name uncultured bacterium. Its description in RNAcentral is "partial 16S ribosomal RNA". It matches the Rfam family "Bacterial small subunit ribosomal RNA", at positions 524 to 776 of the family's 1533-position model. The record is from RNAcentral.